Molecule: transfer RNA, 77 nt
Filed under: Veillonella parvula
Lineage: Bacteria; Bacillati; Bacillota; Negativicutes; Veillonellales; Veillonellaceae
Also listed under: 7 other names
Description: tRNA-Met
Rfam family: tRNA
About the family: Transfer RNA (tRNA) molecules are approximately 80 nucleotides in length. Their secondary structure includes four short double-helical elements and three loops (D, anti-codon, and T loops).
Source: RNAcentral
GGCGGCAUAGCUCAGUUGGCUAGAGCAAUCGGUUCAUACCCGGUGUGUCCGCGGUUCAAGUCCGUGUGCCGCCACCA